GGAGGAGAAGAGCAUCUCCAUUCAGUUUAGUCUAAUACGAAACAACAAUGAUCUCCUCAGUGCUGCUGCUGCUGCUAACAGCUUUCAGUGGUGUAGACUGUGUGGAGCUCACUCAGGCUGCUUCUAAGGUAGUAAAACCUGGAGAAUCGUUCUCCAUCUCCUGUAAGACCUCAGACUCGAGCUACUGUAUUACUUGGAUACGGCAGCCUGCUGGGAAAGCACUGGAAUGGCUUGGAUAUCUGUGUAGUAGUGGUAGCACUAAUAUCAAAGACACAGUGAAGAGCAAGAUCAGUUUCAGUCAGGACACGUCCAGCAGCACAGUGUUUUUACAAGGCCAGAACUUUCAGUCUGAUGACACAGCUGUUUAUUACUGCGUCAGACAACCCACAGUGUUACAACCACCCAGCUGA
Non-coding RNA from Colossoma macropomum (tambaqui), 410 nucleotides. The record is from the annotation of a RefSeq genome assembly. Lineage: Eukaryota; Metazoa; Chordata; Actinopteri; Characiformes; Serrasalmidae.